CACGCUCUCGCUUUCAGGCGACGGCGCGGACGUCCCGUUGUCAUCGAUCCAAGCUACAAGACAAAAUACUACUACUCAAGUCCAUGGAUCAAACUGCCAGGCGAUUAAUCUUGCGGGCCGUCGAGUGCUACGUUUGGGACGAUGGGACGGAAGGCGGGACGCGAUCCCAUUAAAUCGGGGACGAUCUACCGGGAUCGAUCAGUACAAAUCACAUUAGAUAGCCUAGAAUCAGGAUUGGAAAGCAAAAUCGGAAUGGAAAGAGAGCAAAUUAUGCAUGGAAAGAGCAGAAUUUUAGCCGCGUUGAGAGGAUCUUAGUUAGGCAUUACAGGGUAUAUAUACAUGGAGAGUGGGCAACGGUGUGCCAUAUCUACCGGGCUGUUACAACAGAAUACAAGGCCCUAUACAUCUGAAUACACGGCAAUACAGAACAGUCUACAAGUAUAUUUCAACAGCAACGUCCCCGCAUCAUGGGAUCAUGUUCCUGCCAUCGAACCGCAUCGACCCGGCUUCGUCCCCGACUCUUGAUUCGGGUCGACGAAUCGGAUUCACGGGACGCGGCACCGUUCCGCGUUCCCGGCUUCUAUGUGGAGGUGGCCAGGAUGCACGCCAGGCUGCUGGAGAUGGACCGUGGAAGGGGUUCUGAGGAUAUGGAGACGGGUGAAGGCUCUCCGGGAUGGUCAAGCAGAGGCUAUCUACUUCAUGGACGACGACGACCAAGAAAUCAUGUAGCCAUACCAUUAAUAUAAAGAUGUCUUCGCUAGGCAUCGCACUUCUUCUCUUGAUUCUUGAAUAGCGUUUCACUAUGAUGUUUAUUUCUCUUGUUUGAAACCAAACAACUAAGAUGUAACUUAACUUCCGAGUAAUCUUCUAGUGAUAUUGAGAUCAA
Molecule: long non-coding RNA, 886 nt
Organism: Brachypodium distachyon (stiff brome)
Lineage: Eukaryota; Viridiplantae; Streptophyta; Magnoliopsida; Poales; Poaceae
Exons: 2
Source: RefSeq, a predicted model, not a curated record